AUUGAACGCUGGCGGCAUGCUUUACACAUGCAAGUCGAACGGUAACAGGGACUUCGGUCUGCUGACGAGUGGCGAACGGGUGAGUAACAUAUCGGAACGUGCCCAGUAAUGGGGGAUAGCUCGGCGAAAGCCGGAUUAAUACCGCAUACGCCCUGAGGGGGAAAGUGGGGGAUCUUCGGACCUCACGUUAUUGGAGCGGCCGAUAUCGGAUUAGCUGGUUGGUGGGGUAAAGGCCUACCAAGGCGACGAUCCGUAGCUGGUCUGAGAGGAUGAUCAGCCACACUGGGACUGAGACACGGCCCAGACUCCUACGGGAGGCAGCAGUGGGGAAUUUUGGACAAUGGGCGAAAGCCUGAUCCAGCCAUGCCGCGUGAGUGAAGAA
This 382-nucleotide ribosomal RNA is filed under the name uncultured bacterium. RNAcentral describes it as "bacterial SSU rRNA". It matches the Rfam family "Bacterial small subunit ribosomal RNA", at positions 30 to 412 of the family's 1533-position model. The record is from RNAcentral.